This is a long non-coding RNA of Pezoporus flaviventris, 936 nucleotides long. RefSeq lists it as uncharacterized. The record is from RefSeq and is a predicted model, not a curated record. Lineage: Eukaryota; Metazoa; Chordata; Aves; Psittaciformes; Psittacidae. The transcript has 2 exons.
UCUUAGAAACCCUCCCUCUUCCCCCCACAAAAAAAAAAAGGCUUACCAAUACCGUGUAUUUUAUGCAGAAGAGCAUGCCAUGCUGCUUUUUCCGCUGCUUAAAAGCACGUUUUAGAAAUGUCUUACAAAUAAUACACUGAAACAACGCAUGAGAAGACUUCACCAUGGCAAUUUCACUGGAGCUUUAUUGCCUCUGUUGGUAAUGAGAGGGAUUGUAAGAAGUUACAUUGGAACUUACAGAGAUAUGUAAAUGAUGGGGUUUUUACUAAAUAUAAUCUUGUAAUUAAGUGUUUUAUAUCAGGGCACUUCUAAUUUUGUACAUAUUUAAUGUAUAAAACCAGGUUACAAACAUGAUGUUUGCCUUUUUUUUUCCUUGACAUUUGGCAAAAUUAAAGUGAUUCAUUUAAGGGGAGAUCAUCAAAUUGAAGACAUAAGCACUUACGAACGAAUUAAAGCAAUCCAAGUAAGUAACUGGCUGAAUUCUUAAAAAAAAAGAAAAAACACACAAAUAUAGAAGGAAAAAAAAAAAAAACAACAAAAAAAACACACAUGGCCACAUUGAGCACAUUUCAAUGCAAAAUAUUCUCUGUAACGAGGCAUUUUGUCCUUAGAACAACACCCUGUUAAAUCAAUGUUUCUUUCAACUUCAGUCACUUCACAAAAUAACCCUUUCCUGCAACAUAAUUAGUCAAAGUUUUAUGUAUUUCUUUAUAAUUACACAGUAAUUAUAAGCAUGUAGUACCAAACUGAUGACAACACUAUUUUGUUGAAAAGAUCUUGCAUUCAAAAGGAAUAUUGUUUAAAACACCACGGCAUUAUGCCACUACCCAAUCUCAGACUUUUUUGAACGACAAGUCUGUACUGGGAUGAAAAGCAAGUCAGUUCUCUCCAAACACAGCAUACUUGAACUAAUCAAUCUGAAACUGUACCAAAACC